RNAcentral lists this transfer RNA (84 nucleotides) under Spongiibacter marinus. RNAcentral's name for it is "tRNA-Tyr". It matches the Rfam family "tRNA". Rfam says of the family: Transfer RNA (tRNA) molecules are approximately 80 nucleotides in length. Lineage: Bacteria; Pseudomonadati; Pseudomonadota; Gammaproteobacteria; Cellvibrionales; Spongiibacteraceae. The record is from RNAcentral. RNAcentral also lists the same sequence under 10 other names.
GGUGGGGUUCCCGAGUGGCCAAAGGGAUCAGACUGUAAAUCUGACGCGCAAGCUUCGGUGGUUCGAAUCCACCCCCCACCACCA